UACACAAUCGGUAUCAACCCCACAGACAGUCCCGACGCACGUACAGUUUUUCCAUUCACUGGGCUACUCUCUGGCGAUCCUCCACGUGGUUCGUCAAGGUCGCGGUCUGGUACCCGGUUCGCGCGUCCAAGGCGGUUCAGUUCGAUGCUUGGAAUCGAUUAUUACAGACGCAGGACGAGUAACACUUCUCUAAGAAACGUAUUUUCAACACUCUUUCCAGCCAGAUGAUUUUUCUAUCACAGCGAAGUAACGUUGUAUGCGGUUGUACGCAGUUGGUAACAGAAUAAUUUUCUUCCGAUCCUAUAAACAACGGAGAGACUUAUCAAAUUUUUCAUACCGGCGAUGUAUAUGCGAGCAUGCACAAACCUUUUUGAUAAUGAUUAUUGUCGAGAACAGGAAUAUCGUUAACCGUAUG
This 415-nucleotide unclassified non-coding RNA is filed under the name Bombus terrestris (buff-tailed bumblebee). Its description in RNAcentral is "misc RNA ENSBTSG00005025316.1". The record is from RNAcentral. Lineage: Eukaryota; Metazoa; Arthropoda; Insecta; Hymenoptera; Apidae.